CUAGUCCUACUCUCUUUCUCUCUUUCUCCCAAGCCGCAUCUGUAUUGCAGAUUACCGCUUCCCCAUUUUGUUGCAUUCUAUUAGAUGAUGCCGUCUCCCUCUCCUUCUGCAACAAGGAGAGGUAUAGCUUCUCUUUUCAAAAACCAGAGCGUUUCUUGAGUUCCAGAUUGCCCAGCAGAUCCAGGGUAGCACAUUGCCUUUGAUUCCUGUCGGAGGAAGGCCGAUCGCUUGACGGUGCUUUGUGAAUGCUUUCUCAAAACUGUCUUCAUCCAUUAUAUGUGGAGCUUUAGCCAAUGGUUUUCCCCUAAGGGGAAGGCAUUCUGUAUGAUUGACCACAUGAACAUCUUCAUUUUAGGAGAGAAAGAUCCCCUCCAUACAUCUCCCAGCCAAUUGAAUUCCCCCGGGCUUGCUUGUCUUGUCUGUUCUAGAGGCCGUGAAACAACAGAGUUAUACCCCGAUCUUGUUGAGUAGACUCCUGAAAGCAAUGGGAGCCAUAUGACUGAAUCCUCAGCUCCCAUCUUGCUUGGAUGAAGGCACUGGAUUUGGCUUGCCAAAGAAGGCUGACAGGGAGUAAGAAGCAAGACAUGGUGUAAGUUGGAACUGCUGUGAGUGUGGACUUGAGCAUUGUUAGCUUGCCAGCUCUGGACAAAAAUCUCGUAGACAGGCUCUGAGCUCUCUGCCUGAUUUUAUCUACUAGGGAGGUGAAGAGAUCUUUCUUCCUUCUUCCAAAGUGUUCUGGGGGCGUUUUUGAGGAGAAGGUGAUGGAUGAUUUGGAUUUGUUGAUUCGUUGACCAGACGCUUCUCCGUAUCUUGCGAGUAUCUUCACUAGAGUGUCGCAGGUCUUUGCAGAUGAUUGACAGAAGAACAUGGUAUCAUCUGCAAAGAGCAGAUGAUUGAUUCGUGGGCAUCCUCUAGCUACCCUUACUCCCUGAAGCGAGCCAUCUCUUGCUGCAUUUUUACAGAGCCCUGACAAGACCUCUUCACACAGGAUAAACAGGUACCCGGUGACGAAGAAGAGCUGAAUUUCUCUUGACACUGCAUCUCCCACCGUGUCCCAGUUAGUUUGAAAGAAACUAGCUGAGAAUCCAUCAGGGCCUGGUGCCUUAUCAGGGUGAAUCGCGAAGGGUUGGAGAGCUUCAUUGACUAUAUCUUCUCCAUUCGAAUUGCUGGCUGUGAACAGUUGGGAGUAAUAUUUGCAAAUGACUUCCGAGAUUUGCGUUUUUUCGUAGACAGGUAUCCCAUCUUCAUCAUCAACCACUGUCAUUAUGUUUCUUGCUUUUCUUCCUUUGGUGACGGCGUGAAAGAAUCCGGAAUUUGAAUCGUGAACUGAGUCAUCUAUUUGACUUUGUUUUGCGUUAUUAUUUUGUCUGGCACAUUCUGUUUUCUUUUUCUUCUGAGAUCGUCAGGUUCAUUGAUAGCAAAUGAAGAGAAUGAGACUGAAUAUAUAGAGGUGUCUAGUUUAUUAGUUAAUUGUUACCAAUUUUAGUAUUUCUAUUUGAGAUUUUCAACGUUUGAAAGUGC
Brassica oleracea var. oleracea is the source of this 1521-nucleotide long non-coding RNA. RefSeq lists it as uncharacterized. The transcript is spliced from 7 exons. NCBI's taxonomy places the organism in Eukaryota, Viridiplantae, Streptophyta, Magnoliopsida, Brassicales, Brassicaceae. The record is from RefSeq and is a predicted model, not a curated record.